CUACGGGACGCAGCAGUGGGGAAUAUUGCACAAUGGGCGCAAGCCUGAUGCAGCCAUGCCGCGUGUAUGAAGAAGGCCUUCGGGUUGUAAAGUACUUUCAGCGGGGAGGAAGGGAGUAAAUUUAAUACCUUUGCUCAUUGACGUUACCCGCAGAAGAAGCACCGGCUAACUCCGUGCCAGCAGCCGCGGUAAUACGGAGGGUGCAAGCGUUAAUCGGAAUUACUGGGCGUAAAGCGCACGCAGGCGGUUUGUUAAGUCAGAUGUGAAAUCCCCGGGCUCAACCUGGGAACUGCAUCUGAUACUGGCAAGCUUGAGUCUCGUAGAGGGGGGUAGAACUCCAGGUGUAGCGGUGAAAUGCGUAGAGAUCUGGAGGAAUACCGGUGGCGAAGGCGGCCCCCUGGACGAAGACUGACGCUCAGGUGCGAAAGCGUGGGGAGCAAACAGGAUUAGAUACCCUAGUAGUC
RNAcentral lists this ribosomal RNA (464 nucleotides) under uncultured bacterium. Its description in RNAcentral is "partial 16S ribosomal RNA". It matches the Rfam family "Bacterial small subunit ribosomal RNA", at positions 339 to 795 of the family's 1533-position model. The record is from RNAcentral.